Molecule: ribosomal RNA, 254 nt
Filed under: uncultured bacterium
Lineage: Bacteria
Description: partial 16S ribosomal RNA
Rfam family: Bacterial small subunit ribosomal RNA
Source: RNAcentral
UACGGAGGGUGCGAGCGUUGUCCGGAAUCACUGGGCGUAAAGGGCGCGUAGGCGGCUGAGGCAGUCGGUGGUGAAAGCUCGUGGCUCAACUGCGAGUCGGCCAUCGAUACUCCUCGGCUCGAGCACUGUAGAGGCAGGUGGAAUUCCGGGUGUAGCGGUGGGAAUGCGUAGAGAUCCGGAAGAACACCGGUGGCGAAGGCGGCCUGCUGGGCAGUGAGCUGACGCUGAGGCGCGACACGUGGGGGAGCAAACAG